AUUCUGCCCAUGCGGGGAAGGAUGAGAAGCUUCGACCAAGGUUCGACUCGAGCGCCAGCGAGAGAGCGUUGCCGCAGGCAA
Molecule: small RNA, 81 nt
Filed under: Escherichia coli
Lineage: Bacteria; Pseudomonadati; Pseudomonadota; Gammaproteobacteria; Enterobacterales; Enterobacteriaceae
Description: partial RtT sRNA
Rfam family: RtT RNA
About the family: This family represents a bacterial cis-regulatory element known as RtT RNA. The exact function of RtT is unknown although it is thought that it may be involved in changing the cellular response in relation to amino acid starvation.
Source: RNAcentral